CUCAAACACACAUAAACUCACGAUUCUUUUCCAGUUUUUGAUUCAAUGUUUGAAGUCAAAUUGAUGAAUUAGGGUUAAUUGUCUCUAAUCACACACAUCUUUUUCCAGUUUUUGUUUAAAUGUUUGAAGCCAAAUGAUGUAUUCGGAUUUAAAAUCUCACGACGGUCGUCUGAGCACGAUUUGAUGCAGUAAUAAUCCAAUUUCUCUGAUGGUUUCUUUCUAUUCAUUUCUCGAAACAGUUUUUUAUUUUUAUUAUUUUUUUCUGUUUAAAUUAUUUCUCUUAAUUACUAUAAAUAUAUUUUUUAAUUUCUUAAUCCUACUUUUGCUUUGACUUAGAUGAAAUCGGCGUAAUUUGAAUGAACUCACUGAUUUGGCCUACUUUUGUAUUUCUUAUGAUUUUCAUUAUUUCUAAUUUUUACUGCCUUUAAUCCUUCCUAUACAACAAAGACAGUAGGAUAAAAUUUAUUCAAUUCCUUAGCAUUUUUGGGGCUGAAGUUUGGCUCUUGGGCGACUGAUACAAUGCCUUUGGGAUGAAUCCAGCACCCGAGAUCAGUUCAUUCAUUCAGUUGAAUUCAGUGACGGAUCCAACACUCGGCGAGGUAGAGCAGUCGCCAGUGCUGGAUCCGUCGGAAUUUACAGGUUAGAAUUGUUGGAUGAAGCCUUACCAUUUUUGCCGUCUCCUGGGAGGUUGAAGGAAAGGGAUGAAGAAUUGGGCCACUCUCUCCAUUUUUUUUUUUUUUUAAAUUAGGCCCAUUAUCCAGGCCUGCAAGCUCAUGAUAUGAAUUCCAAUUAAGCUACUCCUAUGUAUCCUUAAGAAUUUUGCAAAAAUCAAACAAAGCAAAAAAGCCCUAUCUUCCUCCGAUUGCACAGUCGACGCUGAGCCUUCGGCCUUGUGAGUUGUGAUCUUUUGAUGCCGAGCCUUCACCCUAAACCACUGCUUGCUGCAGCCGCCCCCUGUGUGAGCCUCUCUUAUUUUAUUUUUUAGUUCAUUUUUUUAAUGCCAUUUUCAUUGGAAAUGUUUUAUGAUUUAUGUAUCUAUGGUUUAUGUUUUAUGACUAUGAGCCUGCUACUACUGAGGUUUGUCCGUUUAUGAUUUUUGAAAUUUUGUUUUGGUUGGGCUGGUUGUGUGUGUUGUAAGAUAAUGACCUAUAUUUGUUUUUUCUCCUCUUUAUAGUGUGUUUUGACAAAUUUUA
This is a long non-coding RNA of Olea europaea var. sylvestris, 1193 nucleotides long. RefSeq lists it as uncharacterized. NCBI's taxonomy places the organism in Eukaryota, Viridiplantae, Streptophyta, Magnoliopsida, Lamiales, Oleaceae. The transcript has 2 exons. The record is from RefSeq and is a predicted model, not a curated record.